Molecule: long non-coding RNA, 641 nt
Filed under: Pan troglodytes (chimpanzee)
Lineage: Eukaryota; Metazoa; Chordata; Mammalia; Primates; Hominidae
Description: lincRNA
Source: RNAcentral
CGCUCAGGCUGCUCAGUCGAUGUGAGGACUGUGAGGAAGGGUUCCCAACAGGACAGUCCGAAGGAUACCCAAAUCCUGAGGGCUACAGAAUGACAGAAAGGAGCUGGAAUCAGCACCAGGAGAGCAGGAGAGCGACCUGGCUGUGAUCUCAGGUCAAGCCCAAAAGAUAGCAUCUUCCCAUGUCCAGAUGGACUGCUCUAUAUGCCUGGUCCUCACCUGGGUGACAUUUUGUGACCAGAAGAGAAAGGCCAAGAGAAACAAACAUCAGCUUCUCUAACCUAUUUAUAGCCAGGAGGAUAGAAUCACAAGGUUUUCAAGGUUUAUAGGUGAUGGGCUGCUCUCAAAAGGAGCUUUGUUGUGAAAACGUACCAAAAGAAGAUGGAUGAGUGAUUAUCCAAUACGUUGCUUUUCAAUCCUAUGACAUCCUCACCUCUGCCCUAUGGGUAGAUUCUUUGAUGUCUGAAAAGUUUCUGUACAUAAAGAGGAACAUUCAUUACUAUUGUUUAAUGCCCCAUUUGUUAACUGUAUGACUUUAUUAAAAAAUUAUCAUUUUUGAAGGAGUAAACCAUCACUAUUUUAAGUAUUCACAUAGUACUUUCAAAACUAAUAAAUAUAGACUUGGAAUAAAACAAAUUAGAUUU